UGGGGAAUAUUGCACAAUGGGCGAAAGCCUGAUGCAGCAACGCCGCGUGAGUGAUGAAGGCCUUCGGGUUGUAAAGCUCUGANCUUUUGGGACGAUAAUGACGGUACCAAAGGAGGAAGCCACGGCUAACCUACGUGCCAGCAGCCGCGGUAAUACGUAGGUGGCAAGCGUUGUCCGGAUUUACUGGGCGUAAAGGAUGCGUAGGCGGAUUUUUAAGUGAGAUGUGAAAUACCCGGGCUUAACUUGGGUGCUGCAUUUCAAACUGGGAAGUCUAGAGUGCGGGAGAGGAGAAUGGAAUUCCUAGUGUAGCGGUGAAAUGCGUAGAGAUUAGGAAGAACACCAGUGGCGAAGGCGAUUCUCUGGACCGUAACUGACGCUGAGGCAUGAAAGCGUGGGUAGCAAACAGGAUUAGAUACCCUGGUAGUCCACGCCGUAAACGAUGAGUACUAGGUGUAGGAGGUAUCGACCCCUUCUGUGCCGCAGUUAACACAAUAAGUACUCCGCCUGGGAAGUACGAUCGCAAGA
RNAcentral lists this ribosomal RNA (525 nucleotides) under uncultured bacterium. RNAcentral describes it as "partial 16S ribosomal RNA". It matches the Rfam family "Bacterial small subunit ribosomal RNA", at positions 355 to 893 of the family's 1533-position model. The record is from RNAcentral.